UGAGGUUAAGUUAACAAGGGCGCAUGGUGAAUGCCUUGGCACUAGGAGCCGAUGAAGGACGGGACUAACACCGAUAUGCUUCGGGGAGCUGUACGUAAGCUAUGAUCCGGAGAUUUCCGAAUGGGGCAACCCAGCAGUUUUAAUCAACUGUUACCACUAGAUGAAUUCAUAGUCUAGUUGGAGGUAAACGCUGUGAACUGAAACAUCUCAUUAGCAGCAGGAAUAUAAAGAAAUUUCGAUUCCCUAAGUAGCGGCGAGCGAACGGGGAACAGCCCAAACCAAAGUGCUUGCACUUUGGGGUUGUAGGACUGAACAUUUGAGUUACCAAAGAACUUGAUAGUCGAAGGAUUUGGGAAAAUCCGCCAUAGAUGGUGAUAGCCCAGUAGAUUAAAUCAAAUUCUCUCAGUUCAGGAUCCUGAGUACGGCGGAACACGUGAAAUUCCGUCGGAAUCCGGGAGGACCAUCUCCCAAGGCUAAAUACUACCUAGUGACCGAUAGUGAACCAGUACCGUGAGGGAAAGGUGAAAAGCACCCCGGGAGGGGAGUGAAAUAGUUCCUGAAACCAUGUGCCUACAAUAAGUCAGAGCGCGUUAAUGCGUGAUGGCGUGCCUUUUGUAGAAUGAACCGGCGAGUUAUGAUCCCGUGCAAGGUUAAGACUAAAAAGUCGGAGCCGUAGCGAAAGCGAGUCUGAAAUGGGCGCUUUGAGUACGAGGUUAUAGACCCGAAACCAGGUGACCUAUCCAUGUCCAGGUUGAAGGUGCGGUAAAACGCACUGGAGGACCGAACCCGUGUAAGUUGAAAAUUGCUGGGAUGAGGUGUGGAUAGCGGUGAAAUUCCAAACGAACUUGGAGAUAGCUGGUUCUCUCCGAAAUAGCUUUAGGGCUAGCCUCGGAAUUAGGAUCAUGGAGGUAGAGCACUAUUUGGACUAGGGGCCCGUCUUGGGUUACUGAAUUCAGAUAAACUCCGAAUGCCAUUGAUUCAUAUCCGGGAGUCAGACGAUGAGUGAUAAGAUCCACCGUCGAAAGGGGAACAGCCCAGACCAUCAGUUAAGGUCCCUAAAUGUAUGCUAAGUGGAAAAGGAUGUGGAGUUGCAUAGACAACUAGGAUGUUGGCUCAGAAGCAGCCACCAUUUAAAGAGUGCGUAAUAGCUCACUAGUCGAGUGAUCCUGCGCCGAAAAUGUACCGGGGCUAAGCAUACUACCGAAACCAUGGAUGCGACCAUUAGGUCGCGUGAUAGGAGAGCGUUCUAAGGGCGGUGAAGCAAGAUCGUGAGGACUUGUGGAGCGCUUAGAAGUGAGAAUGCCGGUAUGAGUAGCGAAAGAUAGGUGAGAAUCCUAUCCACCGAAUGACUAAGGUUUCCUGGGGAAGGCUCGUCCUCCCAGGGUUAGUCGGGACCUAAGUCGAGGCCGAGAGGCGUAGACGAUGGAUAACAGGUUGAGAUUCCUGUACUAGUUAAGUGCGUUUGAGCAAUGGAGGGACGCAGGAGGCUAAGAUGUGCAUUCUGUUGGAUUAGAAUGUCCAAGCAGUAAGUCUUGUGAAGAGUCAAAUGCUUUUCACUUUAAGGACAAGCUGUGAUGGGGAGCGAAAUUUAGUAGCGAAGCGUCUGAUGUCACACUGCCGAGAAAAGCUUCUAGUGAGUACUUAACUACCCGUACCGCAAACCGACACAGGUAGUCGAGGAGAGAAUCCUAAGGUGAGCGAGUGAACUCUCGUUAAGGAACUCGGCAAAAUGACCCCGUAACUUCGGGAGAAGGGGUGCUGAUCGCAAGAUCAGCCGCAGUGAAUAGGCCCAGGCGACUGUUUAUCAAAAACACAGGUCUCUGCAAAAUCGUAAGAUGACGUAUAGGGGCUGACGCCUGCCCGGUGCUGGAAGGUUAAAAGGAUGGGUUAGCUUCGGCGAAGCUCAGAAUUGAAGCCCCAGUAAACGGCGGCCGUAACUAUAACGGUCCUAAGGUAGCGAAAUUCCUUGUCGGGUAAGUUCCGACCCGCACGAAAGGCGUAACGAUCUGGGCACUGUCUCAACGAGAGACUCGGUGAAAUUAUAUUGUCCGUGAAGAUGCGGACUACCCGCGACAGGACGGAAAGACCCCAUGGAGCUUUACUGUAGCUUGAUAUUGAGUGUUUGUACAGCUUGUACAGGAUAGGUAGGAGCCAUAGAAACCGGAACGCUAGUUUCGGUGGAGGCGUUGGUGGGAUACUACCCUCGCUGUAUGACCACUCUAACCCGCACCACUAAUCGUGGUGGGAGACAGUGUCAGG
Molecule: ribosomal RNA, 2259 nt
Filed under: Lactiplantibacillus plantarum
Lineage: Bacteria; Bacillati; Bacillota; Bacilli; Lactobacillales; Lactobacillaceae
Description: Lactobacillus plantarum partial 23S ribosomal RNA
Rfam family: Bacterial large subunit ribosomal RNA
Source: RNAcentral